UAGCUUGAUAUUAAAAUGGCGGAUGUCUCAAGUAAUGACCGAAAAAUAAAGGUUACUAAAAACGGGAAAGUGGUAAAAAAACGCCUACGAAAUCCAGAAGAAUGGCACAAGCAAAAACAGAAACGUUUAAGAAUAGCUGGAUUAGAAUACAUAAACGCAAACGGAAAAGUGGUCCCUCCAAAGCAGCCCGGCCCUGACUGCAACUGUCGUCGAAAAUGUUUCCAAAAAGUGCCAGAGGAUGUUCGGUUGAAGACCUUCCAAGGUUUCUAUUCAAUGAAAACACACGACGAACAAAACGCUUAUUUAUUUGGCCUUAUGAGACAGGUUGAUGUGAAAAGAAAAAGAGUCAAGUCCAGCAGUCGCCGAACUUGUACAUUUGAAUAUUUUGUGAGAGUCAAAGGAAGAGAAACACAAGUAUGUCAGACUGCUUUCAAAAACAUCCAUGCAAUCACAGAACGAAAGGUCAGAGUACUCUGCAAGAAAAUGGAUGAUGGUGUCAUGUUUCCCAGUGACAACAGAGGGAAGAACAGUCACCGCAGGUCGGGGUGAGGUGCGUUUACCAACUGAAGUCAUUGAUCAAAUAAAAAACCACAUAUACUCCAUUGUUCACACACACAGACUGAAAGAUUUUAUCAGAUUGGAUAAGAUAGCUGGAUUAGAAAUAAAUAUAUCCAAAAUGUGGAAGGAUUACAUCAAGACUUAUGAUCCUGAAAAUAUCACUGCCACAUUGCCAAAAUCCAAGAGGAGUACUGAUGUGGUGCAGCAACAAGAGCCUCUCCAGCAACAGCAGCCACCCCCACCACAGGAGACAUUUGCACCUAUAGCAUACCCGGGCAGUGGGCAUCUUGUGAACAUUGCAGAAAAUUAUUUCCAGAAUCAAUACCAAACUACUGCCACACUGGCUACUGGCACCACAACUAACUUUUAUCAAGCACCCAAUGCUGGACAGAGCAUGGGCAUAUUGCUCCAGCCAACUACACAAAGGCCUACACAGCCCGCCACUGCAUACAUUGUGCUUCAAACAAAGCCUGAACCCCAACAGAACACAACCAUUACAAUAGAUAACACAGCAUUCAACCAAAGCACAGAAAUAAUACUUGAGCCAGAGAAGAAAAAAGUCAAAAAGGAAAGAAAGAGGGGUCCUUUAGUGAAGCAGUGGAGAUACAGUAAUAUAUUCCAUGAUGAAAUCAAUGGAGCAGCAUUAGCCGCCAUUAAAACAAGGCUUGGCAUGUACUAUGCGGAGAGUGAUGCAGCUAGGAAGCGUGUGAAGCAGGCUCGGCCUACUGAGGCAGUCCAAACACAAACACCUGCUGAACAAAUCCCACAACUGGGACACACAGUGGCUAUAUACACUCAUAGACAUAACUGAAAGAACACAGUGAAGUGAAUGGUAUAAUCAAAAUGGAAAUCAAGUGAUGCUAGUUUUAUAUUGUGACAUAUUUUAUGGUAUGUAACCAAGAGAGAUAAAUGGUGUAGCAGGACACAUUGUCCAGUGACAUGUCAACAAUAUUGUAAUGAAAUCUUAAUAAUCAUUAACAUAUAGGAUCAAUUCAAUGAAAUAAUACUUAUCAAAUGUAAUGAAAUAAUAGUAAUAUUGUAAUCUUUUAGGAGACAUCAGUUCUUAUAAUUGCAUAUUAUCUAUACAUGUAGAAAAUAAACACCUGUAAUCAAAAUGUCUUCAUACUUAACUAAUGCAUCUGCAUGCUAGAGCAAUUUUACUUAUGUAUUUUUUAUUAUUGUAUGUUUUUAUUUAAGGAAUCUAAAUUAUUUUAUAUAUGAUUUCAUUGAUGUGUAUAUUCUUGUUAUUAAUUAUAUAAUUGUGUUGUGUCCAGAACAAAGAAUCCUAUGAGAAAUAUAAGACUAAAAUUCAUUAACAUAAUUAAAUUUUCUGUGUAUGGAGGCUAGGUGAGAUGAAAGAUGCGUUUUUGGAUUAAUUAUUUUACUAUUUUUACCGACAGCAUUUAAUGACACAAAAUAAAUAUUAUGAGAUAAGCUGUACAAACCUUUGAGCCUCGAGGCCCCUUCUUUGAUCGCAAGGUCGUCGGCAGCCCACGUCGCCAUCGUCUUUUGCCACCUCUGUCUAUAUUCUAGAGUUAUAACUCUGGCAUAUAUGCCACAGUGGUGGUAAGCCGUAACUCAGGAAUAAACAUGCGGUAAAUUGUUGCAUGAACUAUGUACUAUGUAUUUUCUGUCGUUAAAAUCUGCUCUUGCAUAUAAAUGCAUUAUGCUCCUUUCCACUACUGAUAAAAUCAACUCGAAUCUUAUUAGUUUAGUUUUAGAUAGCUGUCGUAGGUAUAAUUUUAUUAAUGUUUGGCUUUGAGUAGCUAUGUUAAUCUAUAGACAUCAACCCGUGUUUUAAAACUUUUACCGAAUGAAAUAAAAUUAAUAUGGAUUAAUUACAGAGUACAAUAAAAUACUAUUUAGUAAAA
RNAcentral lists this small RNA (2429 nucleotides) under Manduca sexta (tobacco hornworm). RNAcentral describes it as "uncharacterized LOC115445714". The record is from RNAcentral. Lineage: Eukaryota; Metazoa; Arthropoda; Insecta; Lepidoptera; Sphingidae.